RNAcentral lists this long non-coding RNA (14848 nucleotides) under Triticum aestivum (bread wheat). RNAcentral describes it as "long non-coding RNA (TAES_LNC014747)". Lineage: Eukaryota; Viridiplantae; Streptophyta; Magnoliopsida; Poales; Poaceae. The record is from RNAcentral.
AGCCACGAAAUUGAGGUACGCAGAAGAUGAACAAACCUGAGAAUUGAUGAUCGAAUGAAGAGUCGGAGCUCGAGCAUCACAUAGUCGUCAGCUAUGGUGGCUUGUGGGCGGAUGUUUCUCAGACCUAAGUUGUUGCCGCUGGACCGUGGUUACAUUCAUCCUAGCUUGGAGGAAACGGUGUGGGUGGGUAUGCAUGUGCAGGGCGAAGAAGUGGACGAAGGCCGAAGAAGCAAUCUCUGCCUCCCUAUUGCUGCGUCCUGCUCCUCAAUAUGUCACCUUAGUCAUGGCCGCCUUAUCCCUCAUGCUGCUGAUUUGAAUCUGCCCUACUCUUCUUCUCCUAGACUGCUCGAGCGCUUCAGCGGGUGCCUUGCCGACGACAGGGAAGGAAGGACCAGAGUAAGUAUAAUAUGGAAGUUCCUGUUCAAAUUAGUAGAAUAUGCUUACCAGGGGUUAGAAUUUAUAGAUAUAUACCACAAUUUUCACUACAGAUUAAAUAUAAUAUGAAAGUUCUUGUCAGUUUUCUUUGUAGUUAGUUUGCGACAAUCACAACAUGAUCAUUUGAAUAUUUUGUUGUAACAAAUCUAUUAUAGCUAUUGUUGUGAAAGAAAAAUCCUUAAAAAAUCACCCAAUAGCAACCCGAGGAAGUUAAGAGACAUAAAUGAUCCAGAUAUGGUUCCAUUAUGCUCCCUCUGUUCGAUAAUAUAUGACGUUUUCUGGCAGUACACAAUGCCAAAAACGUCUUAUAUUAUGGGACAGAAGCGAGUUUGUGAUUCUUUUGGUUAUUCUUGAUUCCACAUGCUUCAUUUGGGUGAAUAAUCCAUUGGCAUCCAAAUUUGGAGAUUAAUUCACCUAUGUAAUGUGCAUAAUCAAUGACACAUUUUUGCUAUGAUGAAUAUGUAAAUAAAUUUUGUACAAUUCCAUAAAUACACAGUUAAGCCAUUUUGUUGUAAAGAUAAUGUAGAUAAUUUUUUAUAGCUUUGCAAAUAAGAUUAACCUUGGUGUAUAAAUCCGAUCAGAGUAGAGGUAGCUAUGCAAUGGUCUUGCGUCACAUCAUUAGUCUAAGGCUCUAACCACAUUCAUGGAGAAUCUAACAUCUCAACUACGCAUAUCUGUUUGUUCCAGAAGCCACGAAAUUGAGGUAUGUAGAAGAUAAACAAACCUGAGAAUUGAUGAUCGAAUGAAGAGUCGGAGCUCGAGCAUCACAUAGCCGUCAGCUAUGGUGGCCUGUGGGCGGAUGUUUCUCAGACCUAAGUUGUUGCCGCUGGACCGUGGCUACAUUCAUCCUAGCUUGGAGGAAAUGGUGCGGGAAGAUAUGCAUGUGCAGGGCGAAGAAGUGGACGAAGGCCGAAGUAGCAAUCUCUGCCUCCCUAUCGCUGCGUCCUGCUCCUCAAUAUGUCACCUUAGUCAUGGCCGCCUUAUCCCUCAUGCUGCUGAUUUGAAUCUGCCCUACUCUUCUUCUCCUAGACUGCUCGAGCGCUUCAGCGGGUGCCUUGCCGACGACAGGGAAGGAAGGACCAGAGUAAGUAUAAUAUGGAAGUUCCUGUUCAAAUUAGUAGAAUAUGCUUACCAGGGGUUAGAAUUUAUAGAUAUAUACCACAAUUGUCACUACAGAUUAAAUAUAAUGUGAAACUUCUUGUCAGUUUUCUUUGUAGUUAGUUUGCGACAAUCAAAACAUGAUCAUUUGAAUAUUUUGUUAUAACAAAUCUAUUAUAGCUAUUGUUGUGAAAGAAAAAUCCUUAAAAAAUCACCCAAUAGCAACCCGAGGAAGUUAAGAGACAUAAAUGAUCCAGAUAUGGUUCCAUUAUGCUCCCUCUGUUCGAUAAUAUAUGACGUUUUCUGGCAGUACACAAUGCCAAAAACAUCUUAUAUUAUGGGAGAGAAGCGAGUUUGUGAUUCUUUUGGUUAUUCUUGAUUCCACAUGCUUCAUUUGGGUGAAUAAUCCAUUGGCAUCCAAAUUUGGAGAUUAAUUCACCUAUGUAAUGUGCAUAAUCAAUGACACAUUUUUGCUAUGAUGAAUAUGUAAAUAAAUUUUGUACAAUUCCAUAAAUACACAGUUAAGCAUUUUUGUUGUAAAGAUAAUGUAGAUAAUUUUUUAUAGCUUUGCAAAUAAGAUUAACCUUGGUGUAUAAAUCCGAUCAGAGUAGAGGUAGCUAUGCAAUGGUCUUGCGUCACAUCAUUAGUCUAAGGCUCUAACCACAUUCAUGGAGAAUCUAACAUCCCAACUACGCAUAUCUGUUUGUUCCAGAAGCCACGAAAUUGAGGUACGCAGAAGAUGAACUAACCUGAGAACUGAUGAACCAAAGAAGAGUCGGAGGUCGAGCAUCACAUAGCUGUCAGCUAUGGUGGCUUGUAGGCGGAUGUGUCUCACACCUAAGUUUUUGCCGCUGGACCGUGGUUACAUUCAUCCUAGCUUGGAGGCAACGGUGUGGGUGGGUAUGCAUGUGCAAGGCGAAGAAGUGGACGAAGGCCAAAGAAGCAAUCUCUGCCUCCCUAUCGCUGCGUCCUGCUCCUCAAUAUGUCACCUUAGUCAUGGCCGCCUUAUCCCUCAUGCUGCUGAUUUGAAUCUGCCCUACUCUUCUUCUCCUAGACUGCUCGAGCGCUUCAGCGGGUGCCUUGCCGACGACAGGGAAGGAAGGACCAGAGUAAGUAUAAUAUGGAAGUUCCUGUUCAAAUUAGUAGAAUAUGCUUACCAGGGGUUAGAAUUUAUAGAUAUAUACCAAUUUGUCACUACAGAUUAUAUAUAAUAUGAAAGUUCUUGUCAGUUUUCUUUGUAGUUAGUUUGCGACAAUCACAACAUGAUCAUUUGAAUAUUUUGUUGUAACAAAUCUAUUAUAGCUAUUGUUGUGAAAGAAAAAUCCUUAAAAAAUCACCCAAUAGCAACCCGAGGAAGUUAAGAGACAUAAAUGAUCCAGAUAUGGUUCCAUUAUGCUCCCUCUGUUCGAUAAUAUAUGACGUUUUCUGGCAGUACACAAUGCCAAAAACGUCUUAUAUUAUGGGAGAGAAGCGAGUUUGUGAUUCUUUUGGUUAUUCUUGAUUCCACAUGCUUCAUUUGGGUGAAUAAUCCAUUGGCAUCCAAAUUUGGAGAUUAAUUCACCUAUGUAAUGUGCAUAAUCAAUGACACAUUUUUGCUAUGAUGAAUAUGUAAAUAAAUUUUGUACAAUUCCAUAAAUACACAGUUAAGCAUUUUUGUUGUAAAGAUAAUGUAGAUAAUUUUUUAUAGCUUUGCAAAUAAGAUUAACCUUGGUGUAUAAAUCCGAUCAGAGUAGAGGUAGCUAUGCAAUGGUCUUGCGACACAUCAUUAGUCUAAGGCUCUAACCACAUUCAUGGAGAAUCUAACAUCCCAACUACGCAUAUCUGUUUGUUCCAGAAGCCACGAAAUUGAGGUACGCAGAAGAUGAACAAACCUGAGAACUGAUGAUCCAAAGAAGAGUCGGAGCUCGAGCAUCACAUAGCUGUCAGCUAUGGUGGCUUGUAGGCGGAUGUGUUUCACACCUAAGUUUUUGCCGCUGGACCAUGGUUACGUUCAUCCUAGCUUGGAGGCAACGGUGUGGGUGGGUAUGCAUGUGCAAGGCGAAGAAGUGGACGAAGGCCGAAGAAGCAAUCUCUGCCUCCCUAUCGCUGCGUCCUGCUCCUCAAUAUGUCACCUUAGUCAUGGCCGCCUUAUCCCUCAUGCUGCUGAUUUGAAUCUGCCCUACUCUUCUUCUCCUAGACUGCUCGAGCGCUUCAGCGGGUGCCUUGCGGACGACAGGGAAGGAAGGACCAGAGUAAGUAUAAUAUGGAAGUUCCUGUUCAAAUUAGUAGAAUAUGCUUACCAGGGGUUAGAAUUUAUAGAUAUAUACCACAAUUUUCACUACAGAUUAAAUAUAAUAUGAAAGUUCUUGUCAGUUUUCUUUGUAGUUAGUUUGCGACAAUCAAAACAUGAUCAUUUGAAUAUUUUGUUGUAACAAAUCUAUUAUAGCUAUUGUUGUGAAAGAAAAAUCCUUAAAAAAUCACCCAAUAGCAACCCGAGGAAGUUAAGAGACAUAAAUGAUCCAGAUAUGGUUCCAUUAUGCUCCCUCUGUUCGAUAAUAUAUGACGUUUUCUGGCAGUACACAAUGCCAAAAACGUCUUAUAUUAUGGGACAGAAGCGAGUUUGUGAUUUUUUUGGUUAUUCUUGAUUCCACAUGCUUCAUUUGGGUGAAUAAUCCAUUGGCAUCCAAAUUUGGAGAUUAAUUCACCUAUGUAAUGUGCAUAAUCAAUGACACAUUUUUGCUAUGAUGAAUAUGUAAAUAAAUUUUGUACAAUUCCAUAAAUACACAGUUAAGCAUUUUUGUUGUAAAGAUAAUGUAGAUAAUUUUUUAUAGCUUUGCAAAUAAGAUUAACCUUGGUGUAUAAAUCCGAUCAGAGUAGAGGUAGCUAUGCAAUGGUCUUGCGUCACAUCAUUAGUCUAAAGCUCUAACCACAUUCAUGGAGAAUCUAACAUCCCAACUACGCAUAUCUGUUUGUUCCAGAAGCCACGAAAUUGAGGUACGCAGAAGAUGAACAAACCUGAGAACUGAUGAUCCAAAGAAGAGUCGGAGCUCGAGCAUCACAUAGCUGUCAGCUAUGGUGGCUUGUAGGCGGAUGUGUCUCACACCUAAGUUUUUGCCGCUGGACCGUGGUUACGUUCAUCCUAGCUUGGAGGCAACGGUGUGGGUGGGUAUGCAUGUGCAAGGCGAAGAAGUGGACGACGGCCGAAGAAGCAAUCUCUGCCUCCCUAUCGCUGCGUCCUGCUCCUCAAUAUGUCACCUUAGUCAUGGCCGCCUUAUCCCUCAUGCUGCUGAUUUGAAUCUGCCCUACUCUUCUUCUCCUAGACUGCUCGAGCGCUUCAGCGGGUGCCUUGCCGACGACAGGGAAGGAAGGACCAGAGUAAGUACAAUAUGGAAGUUCCUGUUCAAAUUAGUAGAAUAUGCUUACUAGGUGUUAGAAUUUAUAGAUAUAUACCACAAUUUUCACUACAGAUUAAAUAUAAUAUGAAAGUUCUUGUUAGUUUUCUUUGUAGUUAGUUUGCGACAAUCACAACAUGACCAUUUGAAUAUUUUGUUGUAACAAAUCUAUUAUAGCUAUUGUUGUGAAAGAAAAAUCCUUAAAAAAUCACCCAAUAGCAACCCGAGGAAGUUAAGAGACAUAAAUGAUCCAGAUAUGGUUCCAUUAUGCUCCCUCUGUUCGAUAAUAUAUGACGUUUUCUGGCAGUACACAAUGCCAAAAACGUCUUAUAUUAUGGGACAGAAGCGAGUUUGUGAUUAUUUUCGGUUAUUCUUGAUUCCACAUGCUUCAUUUGGGUGAAUAAUCCAUUGGCAUCCAAAUUUGGAGAUUAAUUCACCUAUGUAAUGUGCAUAAUCAAUGACACAUUUUUGCUAUGAUGAAUAUGUAAAUAAAUUUUGUACAAUUCCAUAAAUACAUAGUUAAGAAUUUUUGUUGUAAAGAUAAUGUAGAUAAUUUUUUAUAGCUUUGCAAAUAAGAUUAACCUUGGUGUAUAAAUCCGAUCAGAGUAGAGGUAGCUAUGCAAUGGUCUUGCGUCACAUCAUUAGUCUAAGGCUCUAACCACAUUCAUGGAGAAUCUAACAUCUCAACUACGCAUAUCUGUUUGUUGCAGAAGCCACGAAAUUGAGGUACGCAGAAGAUGAACAAACCUGAGAACUGAUGAUCCAAAGAAGAGUCGGAGCUCGAGCAUCACAUAGCUGUCAGCUACGGUGGAUUGUAGGCGGAUGUGUCUCAGACCUAUGUUUUUGCCGCUGGACCGUGGUUACGUUCAUCCUAGCUUGGAGGCAACGGUGUGGGUGGGUAUGCAUGUGCAAGGCGAAGAAGUGGACGAAGGCUGAAGAAGCAAUCUCUGCCUCCCUAUCGCUGCGUCCUGCUCCUCAAUAUGUCACCUUAGUCAUGGCCGCCUUAUCCCUCAUGCUGCUGAUUUGAAUCUGCCCUAAUCUUCUUCUCCUAGACUGCUCGAGCGCUUCAGCGGGUGCCUUGCCGACGACAGGGAAGGAAGGACCAGAGUAAGUAUAAUAUGGAAGUUCCUGUUCAAAUUAGUAGAAUAUGCUUACCAGGUGUUAGAAUUUAUAGAUAUAUACCACAAUUUUCACUACAGAUUAAAUAUAAUAUGAAAGUUCUUGUCAGUUUUCUUUGUAGUUAGUUUGCGACAAUCACAACAUGAUCAUUUGAAUAUUUUGUUGUAACAAAUCUAUUAUAGCUAUUGUUGUGAAAGAAAAAUCCUUAAAAAAUCACCCAAUAGCAACCCAAGGAAGUUAAGAGACAUAAAUGAUCAGAAUAUGGUUCCAUUAUGCUCCCUCUGUUCGAUAAUAUAUGACGUUUUCUGGCAGUACACAAUGCCAAAAACGUCUUAUAUUAUGGGACAGAAGCGAGUUUGUGAUUUUUUUGGUUAUUCUUGAUUCCACAUGCUUCAUUUGGGUGAAUAAUCCAUUGGCAUCCAAAUUUGGAGAUUAAUUCACCUAUGUAAUGUGCAUAAUCAAUGACACAUUUUUGCUAUGAUGAAUAUGUAAAUAAAUUUUGUACAAUUCCAUAAAUACACAGUUAAGCAUUUUUGUUGUAAAGAUAAUGUAGAUAAUUUUUUAUAGCUUUGCAAAUAAGAUUAACCUUGGUGUAUAAAUCCGAUCAGAGUAGAGGUAGCUAUGCAAUGGUCUUGCGUCACAUCAUUAGUCCAAGGCUCUAAGCACAUUCAUGGAGAAUCUAACAUCCCAACUACGCAUAUCUGUUUGUUCCAGAAGCCACGAAAUUGAGGUACGCAGAAGAUGAACAAACCUGAGAACUGAUGAUCCAAAGAAGAGUCGGAGCUCGAGCAUCACAUAGCUGUCAGCUAUGGUGGCUUGUAGGCGGAUGUGUCUCACACCUAAGUUUUUGCCGCUGGACCGUGGUUACGUUCAUCCUAGCUUGGAGGCAACGGUGUGGGUGGGUAUGCAUGUGCAAGGCGAAGAAGUGGACGAAGGCCGAAGAAGCAAUCUCUGCCUCCCUAUCGCUGCGUCCUGCUCCUCAAUAUGUCACCUUAGUCAUGGCCGCCUUAUCCCUCAUGCUGCUGAUUUGAAUCUGCCCUACUCUUCUUCUCCUAGACUGCUCGAGCGCUUCAGCGGGUGCCUUGCCGACGACAGGGAAGGAAGGACCAGAGUAAGUAUAAUAUGGAAGUUCCUGUUCAAAUUAGUAGAAUAUGCUUACUAGGUGUUAGAAUUUAUAGAUAUAUACCACAAUUUUCACUACAGAUUAAAUAUAAUAUGAAAGUUCUUGUUAGUUUUCUUUGUAGUUAGUUUGCGACAAUCACAACAUGACCAUUUGAAUAUUUUGUUGUAACAAAUCUAUUAUAGCUAUUGUUGUGAAAGAAAAAUCCUUAAAAAAUCACCCAAUAGCAACCCGAGGAAGUUAAGAGACAUAAAUGAUCCAGAUAUGGUUCCAUUAUGCUCCCUCUGUUCGAUAAUAUAUGACGUUUUCUGGCAGUACACAAUGCCAAAAACGUCUUAUAUUAUGGGACAGAAGCGAGUUUGUGAUUAUUUUCGGUUAUUCUUGAUUCCACAUGCUUCAUUUGGGUGAAUAAUCCAUUGGCAUCCAAAUUUGGAGAUUAAUUCACCUAUGUAAUGUGCAUAAUCAAUGACACAUUUUUGCUAUGAUGAAUAUGUAAAUAAAUUUUGUACAAUUCCAUAAAUACAUAGUUAAGAAUUUUUGUUGUAAAGAUAAUGUAGAUAAUUUUUUAUAGCUUUGCAAAUAAGAUUAACCUUGGUGUAUAAAUCCGAUCAGAGUAGAGGUAGCUAUGCAAUGGUCUUGCGUCACAUCAUUAGUCUAAGGCUCUAACCACAUUCAUGGAGAAUCUAACAUCUCAACUACGCAUAUCUGUUUGUUGCAGAAGCCACGAAAUUGAGGUACGCAGAAGAUGAACAAACCUGAGAACUGAUGAUCCAAAGAAGAGUCGGAGCUCGAGCAUCACAUAGCUGUCAGCUACGGUGGAUUGUAGGCGGAUGUGUCUCAGACCUAUGUUUUUGCCGCUGGACCGUGGUUACGUUCAUCCUAGCUUGGAGGCAACGGUGUGGGUGGGUAUGCAUGUGCAAGGCGAAGAAGUGGACGAAGGCUGAAGAAGCAAUCUCUGCCUCCCUAUCGCUGCGUCCUGCUCCUCAAUAUGUCACCUUAGUCAUGGCCGCCUUAUCCCUCAUGCUGCUGAUUUGAAUCUGCCCUAAUCUUCUUCUCCUAGACUGCUCGAGCGCUUCAGCGGGUGCCUUGCCGACGACAGGGAAGGAAGGACCAGAGUAAGUAUAAUAUGGAAGUUCCUGUUCAAAUUAGUAGAAUAUGCUUACCAGGUGUUAGAAUUUAUAGAUAUAUACCACAAUUUUCACUACAGAUUAAAUAUAAUAUGAAAGUUCUUGUCAGUUUUCUUUGUAGUUAGUUUGCGACAAUCACAACAUGAUCAUUUGAAUAUUUUGUUGUAACAAAUCUAUUAUAGCUAUUGUUGUGAAAGAAAAAUCCUUAAAAAAUCACCCAAUAGCAACCCAAGGAAGUUAAGAGACAUAAAUGAUCAGAAUAUGGUUCCAUUAUGCUCCCUCUGUUCGAUAAUAUAUGACGUUUUCUGGCAGUACACAAUGCCAAAAACGUCUUAUAUUAUGGGACAGAAGCGAGUUUGUGAUUUUUUUGGUUAUUCUUGAUUCCACAUGCUUCAUUUGGGUGAAUAAUCCAUUGGCAUCCAAAUUUGGAGAUUAAUUCACCUAUGUAAUGUGCAUAAUCAAUGACACAUUUUUGCUAUGAUGAAUAUCUAAAUAAAUUUUGUGCAAUUCCAUAAAUACACAGUUAAGCAUUUUUGUUGUAAAGAUAAUGUAGAUAAUUUUUUAUAGCUUUGCAAAUAAGAUUAACCUUGGUGUAUAAAUCCGAUCAGAGUAGAGGUAGCUAUGCAAUGGUCUUGCGUCACAUCAUUAGUCUAAGGCUCUAACCACAUUCAUGCAGAAUCUAACAUCCCAACUACGCAUAUCUGUUUGUUCCAGAAGCCAAGAAAUUGAGGUACGCAGAAGAUGAACAAUCCUGAGAAUUGAUGAUCGAAUGAAGAGUCGGAGCUCGAGCAUCACAUAGCCGUCAGCUAUGGUGGCUUGUGGGCGGAUGUUUCUCAGAACUAAGUUGUUGCCGCUGGACCGUGGUUACAUUCAUCCUAGCUUGGAGGAAAGGUGCGGGAAGAUAUGCAUGUGCAGGGCGAAGAAGUGGACGAAGGCCGAAGUAGCAAUCUCUGCCUCCCUAUCGCUGCGUCCUGCUCCUCAAUAUGUCACCUUAGUCAUGGCCGCCUUAUCCCUCAUGCUGCUGAUUUGAAUCUGCCCUACUCUUCUUCUCCUAGACUGCUCGAGCAGCGGGUGCCUUGCCGACGACAGGGAAGGAAGGACCAGAGUAAGUAUAAUAUGGAAGUUCCUGUUCAAAUUAGUAGAAUAUGCUUACCAGGGGUUAGAAUUUAUAGAUAUAUACCACAAUUUUCACUACAGAUUAAAUAUAAUAUGAAAGUUCUUGUCAGUUUUCUUUGUAGUUAGUUUGCGACAAUCACAACAUGAUCAUUUGAAUAUUUUGUUGUAACAAAUCUAUUAUAGCUAUUGUUGUGAAAGAAAAAUCCUUAAAAAAUCACCCAAUAGCAACCCGAGGAAGUUAAGAGACAUAAAUGAUCCAGAUAUGGUUCCAUUAUGCUCCCUCUGUUUGAUAAUAUAUGACGUUUUCUGGCAGUACACAAUGCCAAAAACGUCUUAUAUUAUGGGACAGAAGCGAGUUUGUGAUUCUUUUGGUUAUUCUUGAUUCCACAUGCUUCAUUUGGGUGAAUAAUCCAUUGGCAUCCAAAUUUGGAGAUUAAUUCACCUAUGUAAUGUGCAUAAUCAAUGACACAUUUUUGCUAUGAUGAAUAUGUAAAUAAAUUUUGUACAAUUCCAUAAAUACACAGUUAAGCAUUUUUGUUGUAAAGAUAAUGUAGAUAAUUUUUUAUAGCUUUGCAAAUAAGAUUAACCUUGGUGUAUAAAUCCGAUCAGAGUAGAGGUAGCUAUGCAAUGGUCUUGCGUCACAUCAUUAGUCUAAGGCUCUAACCACAUUCAUGGAGAAUCUAACAUCCCAACUACGCAUAUCUGUUUGUUCCAGAAGCCACGAAAUUGAGGUACGCAGAAGAUGAACAAACCUGAGAAUUGAUGAUCGAAUGAAGAGUCGGAGCUCGAGCAUCACAUAGNNNNNNNNNNNNNNNNNNNNNNNNNNNNNNNNNNNNNNNNNNNNNNNNNNNNNNNNNNNNNNNNNNNNNNNNNNNNNNNNNNNNNNNNNNNNNNNNNNNNAGUGGACGAAGGCUGAAGAAGCAAUCUCUGCCUCCCUAUCGCUGCGUCCUGCUCCUCAAUAUGUCACCUUAGUCAUGGCCGCCUUAUCCCUCAUGCUGCUGAUUUGAAUCUGCCCUACUCUUCUUCUCCUAGACUGCUCGAGCGCUUCAGCGGGUGCCUUGCCGACGACAGGGAAGGAAGGACCAGAGUAAGUAUAAUAUGGAAGUUCCUGUUCAAAUUAGUAGAAUAUGCUUACCAGGUGUUAGAAUUUAUAGAUAUAUACCACAAUUUUCACUACAGAUUAAAUAUAAUAUGAAAGUUCUUGUCAGUUUUCUUUGUAGUUAGUUUGCGACAAUCACAACAUGAUCAUUUGAAUAUUUUGUUGUAACAAAUCUAUUAUAGCUAUUGUUGUGAAAGAAAAAUCCUUAAAAAAUCACCCAAUAGCAACCCGAGGAAGUUAAGAGACAUAAAUGAUCCAGAUAUGGUUCCAUUAUGCUCCCUCUGUUUGAUAAUAUAUGAAGUUUUCUGCCAGUACACAAUGCCAAAAACGUCUUAUAUUAUGGGACAGAAGCGAGUUUGUGAUUUUUUUGGUUAUUCUAGAUUCCACAUGCUUCAUUUGGGUGAAUAAUCCAUUGGCAUCCAAAUUUGGAGAUUAAUUCACCUAUGUAAUGUGCAUAAUCAAUGACACAUUUUUGCUUUGAUGAAUAUGUAAAUAAAUUUUGUACAAUUCCAUAAAUACACAGUUAAGCAUUUUUGUUGUAAAGAUAAUGUAGAUAAUUUUUUAUAGCUUUGCAAAUAAGAUUAACCUUGGUGUAUAAAUCCGAUCAGAGUAGAGGUAGCUAUGCAAUGGUCUUGCGUCACAUCAUUAGUCUAAGGCUCUAACCACAUUCAUGGAGAAUCUAACAUCCCAACUACGCAUAUCUGUUUGUUCCAGAAGCCACGAAAUUGAGGUACGCAGAAGAUGAAGAAACCUGAGAAUUGAUGAUCGAAUGAAGAGUCGGAGCUCGAGCAUCACAUAGUCGUCAGCUAUGGUGGCUUGUGGGCGGAUGUUUCUCAGACCUAAGUUGUUGCCGCUGGACCGUGGUUACAUUCAUCCUAGCUUGGAGGAAAUGGUGCGGGAAGAUAUGCAUGUGCUGGGCGAAGAAGUGGACGAAGGCCGAAGUAGCAAUCUCUGCCUCCCUAUCGCUGCGUCCUGCUCCUCACUAUGUCACCUUAGUCAUUGCCGCCUUAUCCCUCAUGCUGCUGAUGUGAAUCUGCCCUACUCUUCUUCUCCUAGACUGCUCGAGCGCUUCAGCGGGUGCCUUGCCGACGACAGGGAAGGAAGGACCAGAGUAAGUAUAAUAUGGAAGUUCCUGUUCAAAUUAGUAGAAUAUGCUUACCAGGUGUUAGAAUUUAUAGAUAUAUACCACAAUUUUCACUACAGAUUAAAUAUAAUAUGAAAGUUCUUGUCAGUUUUCUUUGUAGUUAGUUUGCGAAAAUCACAACAUGAUCAUUUGAAUAUUUUGUUGUAACAAAUCUAUUAUAGCUAUUGUUGUGAAAGAAAAAGCCUUAAAAAAUCACCCAAUAGCAACCCGAGGAAGUUAAGAGACAUAAAUGAUCCAGAUAUGGUUCCAUUAUGCUCCCUCUGUUCGAUAAUAUAUGACGUUUUCUGGCAGUACACAAUGCCAAAAACGUCUUAUAUUAUGGGACAGAAGCGAGUUUGUGAUUCUUUUGGUUAUUCUUGAUUCCACAUGCUUCAUUUGGGUGAAUAAUCCAUUGGCAUCCAAAUUUGGAGAAUAAUUCACCUAUUUAAUGUGCAUAAUCAAUGACACAUUUUUGCUAUGAUGAAUAUGUAAAUAAAUUUUGUACAAUUCCAUAAAUACACAGUUAAGCGUUUUUGUUGUAAAGAUAAUGUAGAUAAUUUUUAUAGCUUUGCAAAUAAGAUUAACCUUGGUGUAUAAAUCGGAUCAGAGUAGAGGUAGCUAUGCAAUGGUCUUGCGUCACAUCAUUAGUCUAAGGCUCUAACCACAUUCAUGGAGAAUCUAACAUCCCAACUAUGCAUAUCUGUUUGUUCCGGAAGCCAAGAAAUUGAGGGACGCAGAAGAUGAACAAAGCUGAGAAUUGAUGAUCGAAUGAAGAGUCGGAGCUCGAGCAUCACAUAGCCGUCAGCUAUGGUGGCUUGUGGGCGGAUGUUUCUCAGACCUAAGUUGUUGCCGCUGGACCGUGGUUACAUUCAUCCUAGCUUGGAGGAAAUGGUGCGGGAAGAUAUGCAUGUGCAGGGCGAAGAAGUGGACGAAGGCCGAAGUAGCAAUCUCUGCCUCCCUAUCGCUGCGUCCUUCUCCUCAAUAUGUCACCUUAGUCAUGGCCGCCUUAUCCCUCAUGCUGCUGAUUUGAAUCUGCCCUACUCUUCUUCUCCUAGACUGCUCGAGCGCUUCAGCGGGUGCCUUCCCAACGACAGGGAAGGAAGGACCAGAGUAAGUAUAAUAUGGAAGUUCUUGUUCAAAUUAGUAGAAUAUGCUUACCAGGUGUUAGAAUUUAUAGAUAUAUACCACAAUUUUCACUACAGAUUAAAUAUAAUAUGAAAGUUCUUGUCAGUUUUCUUUGUAGUUAGUUUGCGACAAUCACAACAUGAUCAUUUGAAUAUUUUGUUGUAACAAAUCUAUUAUAGCUAUUGUUGUGAAAGAAAAAUCCUUAAAAAAUCACCCAAUAGCAACCCGAGGAAGUUAAGAGACAUAAAUGAUCCAGAUAUGGUUCCAUUAUGCUCCCUCUGUUCGAUAAUAUAUGACGUUUUCUGGCAGUACACAAUGCCAAAAACGUCUUAUAUUAUGGGACAGAAGCGAGUUUGUGAUUUUUUUGGUUAUUCUUGAUUCCACAUGCUUCAUUUGGGUGAAUAAUCCAUUGGCAUCCAAAUUUGGAGAUUAAUUCACCUAUGUAAUGUGCAUAAUCAAUGACACAUUUUUGCUAUGAUGAAUAUGUAAAUAAAUUUUGUACAAUUCCAUAAAUACACAGUUAAGCAUUUUUGUUGUAAAGAUAAUGUAGAUAAUUUUUUAUAGCUUUGCAAAUAAGAUUAACCUUGGUGUAUAAAUCCGAUCAGAGUAGACGUAGCUAUGGAAUGGUCUUGCGUCACAUCAUUAGUCUAAGGCUCUAACCACAUUCAUGGAGAAUCUAACAUCCCAACUACGCAUAUCUGUUUGUUCCAGAAGCCAAGAAAUUGAGGUACGCAGAAGAUGAACAAACCUGAGAAUUGAUGAUCGAAUGAAGAGUCGGAGCUCGAGCAUCACAUAGCCGUCAGCUAUGGUGGCUUGUGGGCGGAUGUUUCUCAGACCUAAGUUGUUGCCGCUGGACCGUGGUUACAUUCAUCCUAGCUUGGAGGAAAUGGUGCGGGAAGAUAUGCAUGUGCAGGGCGAAGAAGUGGACGAAGGCCGAAGUAGCAAUCUCUGCCUCCCUAUCGCUGCGUCCUGCUCCUCAAUAUGUCACCUUAGUCAUGGCCGCCUUAUCCCUCAUGCUGCUGAUUUGAAUCUGCCCUACUCUUCUUCUCCUAGACUGCUCGAGCGCUUCAGCGGGUGCCUUGCCGACGACAGGGAAGGAAGGACCAGAGUAAGUAUAAUAUGGAAGUUCCUAUUCAAAUUAGUAGAAUAUGCUUACCAGGUGUUAGAAUUUAUAGAUAUAUACCACAAUUUUCACUACAGAUUAAAUAUAAUAUGAAAGUUCUUGUCAGUUUUCUUUGUAGUUAGUUUGCGACAAUCACAACAUGAUCAUUUGAAUAUUUUGUUGUAACAAAUCUAUUAUAGCUAUUGUUGUGAAAGAAAAAUCCUUAAAAAAAUCACCCAAUAGCAACCCGAGGAAGUUAAGAGACAUAAAUGAUCCAGAUAUGGUUCCAUUAUGCUCCCUCUGUUCGAUAAUAUAUGACGUUUUCUGGCAGUACACAAUGCCAAAAACGUCUUAUAUUAUGGGACAGAAGCGAGUUUGUGAUUUUUUUGGUUAUUCUUGAUUCCACAUGCUUCAUUUGGGUGAAUAAUCCAUUGGCAUCCAAAUUUGGAGAUUAAUUCACCUAUGUAAUGUGCAUAAUCAAUGACACAUUUUUGCUAUGAUGAAUAUGUAAAUAAAUUUUGUACAAUUCCAUAAAUACACAGUUAAGCAUUUUUGUUGUAAAGAUAAUGUAGAUAAUUUUUUAUAGCUUUGCAAAUAAGAUUAACCUUGGUGUAUAAAUCCGAUCAGAGUAGAGGUAGCUAUGCAAUGGUCUUGCGUCACAUCAUUAGUCUAAGGCUCUAACCACAUUCAUGGAGAAUCUAACAUCCCAACUACGCAUAUCUGUUUGUUCCAGAAGCCAAGAAAUUGAGGUACGCAGAAGAUGAACAAACCUGAGAAUUGAUGAUCGAAUGAAGAGUCGGAGCUCGAGCAUCACAUAGCCGUCAGCUAUGGUGGCUUGUGGGCGGAUGUUUCUCAGACCUAAGUUGUUGCCGCUGGACCGUGGUUACAUUCAUCCUAGCUUGGAGGAAAUGGUGCGGGAAGAUAUGCAUGUGCAGGGCGAAGAAGCGGACGAAGGCCGAAGUAGCAAUCUCUGCCUCCCUAUCGCUGCGUCCUGCUCCUCAAUAUGUCACCUU